Molecule: long non-coding RNA, 860 nt
Organism: Salarias fasciatus (jewelled blenny)
Lineage: Eukaryota; Metazoa; Chordata; Actinopteri; Blenniiformes; Blenniidae
Source: Ensembl
GAGACGAAGCGAGACGACGGCUGAAGUCAGACCUGUGGAAAUGUUUCUAUUUUACCUCUUUGUGCUUCAGUCUGCAGCAGUGGCGGCAUUUGUUCAGAGAGCAGGAGAGGACGUCACUCUGACUUGUGAAAAUAAGGUAGAGGGUCAACGGAACUGUAAUGGGACAAAGUGGAUCUAUUUUCCUGGAAACAGUUAUGUCGUGAAGCUGGUUGAAUUUGGGAAGAUUAAAGACUACAGUGACAUAACAUCAGACAGAAUGAGAGUUGCAGCAGAUUGCUCUCUGAUUCUGAGGAAAGUCACAGAAAAACAAGUUGGUCAUUAUUAUUGUGGACAAUUCAAAUCAGACAGUUCAAAGCAACCCGUUCUAGUUAGCUGGUCUUUCGUGGAUCUGUCUGUCGUCAACAUCUUGACUGAACAUGAAUCCGAUGACGAGGAGACACUGAAAUGCUUUGUGAAGUCUAAAAAGGAAAACUGUGAACUGGAAGUGAAGUGGACGAUCAAAGAUCAGGAUAUUGAUGAAGUCAACAGUCAGAUAAAGACAGAAAAGAAUGGAUGUUCUGCCACUGUGACUCUUAAAAAGUCACAUUAUCUUCACCCACUAACACACUUCCUGAGCUGUGAAGUGACUGACAACAGAACAGGAGAAAAGCUUCGUUUCAGUCCUCGACCCUCAGGUGACACGAAAUCAACAAUGAAACCAGAAAGCUUCACAAAAUCAGCUGGAACUGAAACCAGUGGAGCUUCAGCAGGUCCACAAGGUAACGACUCCAUUUACUGUAUCAGUUAAAUGUGCUGUGUUGUACUUUUGGUCUUCAAAAGAAGCGUCCAGUUUACUCAGUGGCUCAGAUGGGUCAUCACAU